GACGAACGCUGGCGGCGUGCUUAACACAUGCAAGUCGAACGGUGAAGCGCCUUCCUUUUUGGUGGGUGUGGAUGAGUGGCGAACGGGUGAGUAACACGUGAGUAACCUGCCCCCUUCUUCUGGAUAACCGCAUGAAAGUGUGGCUAAUACGGGAUAUUCUGGGUCUGUCGCAUGAUGGGUCUGGGAAAGAUAUUGUUUCGGUGGGGGAUGGGCUCGCGGCCUAUCAGCUUGUUGGUGGGGUGAUGGCCUACCAAGGCGGUGACGGGUAGCCGGCCUGAGAGGGUGGACGGUCACACUGGGACUGAGACACGGCCCAGACUCCUACGGGAGGCAGCAGUGGGGAAUAUUGCACAAUGGGCGCAAGCCUGAUGCAGCGACGCCGCGUGAGGGAUGGAGGCCUUCGGGUUGUGAACCUCUUUCGCCAGUGAAGCAGGCCUGCCUCGUUUGUGGGUGGGUUGACGGUAGCUGGAUAAGAAGCGCCGGCUAACAACGUG
Molecule: ribosomal RNA, 494 nt
Filed under: uncultured bacterium
Lineage: Bacteria
Description: partial 16S ribosomal RNA
Rfam family: Bacterial small subunit ribosomal RNA
Source: RNAcentral